UACUGAAAGGAUGGUAAAACAUAACGCU
This 28-nucleotide small RNA is filed under the name Bombyx mori (domestic silkworm). RNAcentral describes it as "piRNA piR-bmo-1659980". The record is from RNAcentral. Lineage: Eukaryota; Metazoa; Arthropoda; Insecta; Lepidoptera; Bombycidae.